UACAGAGGGGGCAAGCGUUGUUCGGAAUUACUGGGCGUAAAGGGCGCGUAGGCGGCCUGUUAAGUCGAACGUGAAAUCCCCGGGCUCAACCCGGGAACUGCGUCCGAUACUGGCAGGCUUGAAUCCGGGAGAGGGAUGCGGAAUUCCAGGUGUAGCGGUGAAAUGCGUAGAUAUCUGGAGGAACACCGGUGGCGAAGGCGGCAUCCUGGACCGGAAGUGACGCUGAGGCGCGAAAGCCUGGGGAGCAAACGGG
RNAcentral lists this ribosomal RNA (253 nucleotides) under uncultured bacterium. RNAcentral describes it as "partial 16S ribosomal RNA". It matches the Rfam family "Bacterial small subunit ribosomal RNA", at positions 524 to 776 of the family's 1533-position model. The record is from RNAcentral.